UGGGGAAUAUUGGACAAUGGGCGAAAGCCUGAUCCAGCAAUGCCGCGUGAGUGAUGAAGGCCUUAGGGUUGUAAAGCUCUUUUACCCGGGAUGAUAAUGACAGUACCGGGAGAAUAAGCUCCGGCUAACUCCGUGCCAGCAGCCGCGGUAAUACGGAGGGAGCUAGCGUUGUUCGGAAUUACUGGGCGUAAAGCGCACGUAGGCGGUCAGCCAAGUCAGAGGUGAAAGCCCGGAGCUCAACUUCGGAACUGCCUUUGAAACUAUCUGACUAGAAUCUUGGAGAGGCGGGUGGAAUUCCGAGUGUAGAGGUGAAAUUCGUAGAUAUUCGGAAGAACACCAGUGGCGAAGGCGGCCCGCUGGACAAGUAUUGACGCUGAGGUGCGAAAGCGUGGGGAGCAAACAGG
Molecule: ribosomal RNA, 404 nt
Filed under: uncultured bacterium
Lineage: Bacteria
Description: bacterial SSU rRNA
Rfam family: Bacterial small subunit ribosomal RNA
Source: RNAcentral